This 410-nucleotide ribosomal RNA is filed under the name Sphingomonas sp. RNAcentral's name for it is "bacterial SSU rRNA". It matches the Rfam family "Bacterial small subunit ribosomal RNA", at positions 23 to 457 of the family's 1533-position model. The record is from RNAcentral. Lineage: Bacteria; Pseudomonadati; Pseudomonadota; Alphaproteobacteria; Sphingomonadales; Sphingomonadaceae.
CUCAGAAUGAACGCUGGCGGCAUGCCUAACACAUGCAAGUCGAACGAAUUACCUUCGGGUAGUUAGUGGCGCACGGGUGCGUAACGCGUGGGAAUCUGCCCCUUGGUUCGGAAUAACAGUUGGAAACGACUGCUAAUACCGGAUGACGACGUAAGUCCAAAGAUUUAUCGCCGAGGGAUGAGCCCGCGUAGGAUUAGGUAGUUGGUGUGGUAAAGGCGCACCAAGCCGACGAUCCUUAGCUGGUCUGAGAGGAUGAUCAGCCACACUGGGACUGAGACACGGCCCAGACUCCUACGGGAGGCAGCAGUGGGGAAUAUUGGACAAUGGGCGAAAGCCUGAUCCAGCAAUGCCGCGUGAGUGAUGAAGGCCUUAGGGUUGUAAAGCUCUUUUACCCGGGAUGAUAAUGACAG